Molecule: long non-coding RNA, 2271 nt
Filed under: Canis lupus familiaris (dog)
Lineage: Eukaryota; Metazoa; Chordata; Mammalia; Carnivora; Canidae
Description: lncRNA (ENSCAFG00000056463.1, ENSCAFG00845001011.1)
Source: RNAcentral
CUGUCUCCAGCCCACGUAGCCGUGUCAGGAAAGUAUAUAGGUGUGAGGUGAGCUGGCAGGGAGGCAGGCUGGCCCCCUGUGAGGGGAGGCUGGGUGUGAGGAUCCCACUGGGGGGCAGCGACAACAGCACUGCAGCGAUGCCUCCUCCUUUCCCUUCUUUUCCACCUCUGUCACCACGUGGCAGGCACCCAGACCCCAGAUGUUUCCUGCUGCAUGGCUCUCUGUAUGUGUGCCUGCACUCGUGCAUGCACACUGGUGUCCCCUGCCCUGCCGUACUACCCUCCCCAGGAAGGGAUGGAGGGGAGGUGGGAUGAGGGCAGGCAGGAUCUUCCCAUCUCUGUUCCCACAGCAUUGGAAAGAGACAAAUUUAGGUGGACCCUAAAUGGGAACCCUCAAACCCCCACCCCCUAUUCUGGAUCAGUGAGUAUGUGUGUGCGGGGGUGGGGGGCGUGGGAGGGGUAGAGGUAGGGGGGUGGGGGAUGCCCAGAGGGGGAAUAGGGUACCAGGGCCUGGCCUCUGUGCCUUUUAAUGUAAUGUGAACAGCAUGCAAAGCAGAUGCAAAUAUUAUGCAAACUAGAACUUUUCUUUUUCUAGUCAACAGCUCUGACAGGCUCUGAAAUGGGCUACAGGGGGCCCAGAACCCAAGGGGAGGUGUGGAAGUGAGGGCAGCCAUCAUCACUGCUUUGUCAAGAGCAUGCUAUGUUCAAGCAGUACCCAAGCAUCUACUGUACACCGGGCACCAGGGCAUAUCGUAUACUGGGCUCCUGAAGAUUCAGAUGAAGACUAAGGCAUGCAGGGAAGUUUAGGGAAGUGAGAACAAAAUCCAGCUCCAUAGGACCUUGAUUGACAGCCUUUCAGACAUGCUAGCAUUUAUUUAUAAUUCUUUAGAGGAGGGAGGGGCAGAGGGAGAGAGAGAGAUACUUAAGCAGGCUGCACACCCAACAUGGAGCUCAACACGGGGCUCAAUCUCACAACCGUGAGAUCACGACCUGAGCCAAAACCACAAGUCAGACACUCAGUCAACUGAGCCACCCUGGUGCCCCAAGACAUCCCUAGCAUUUAAUAGCAUGUGAGACCAGAUAGCAGAAUGGUUAAAGUCUCCUGUUCUGGCCUCAGCUAGACCUGGGUUUGAUUCCCUCAGCUCCACCACUUAAUUUCUCUGUGAUCUUAGGCAAGGUGCUUUACCUCUGUAAAUUUCUGUUUAUUUGCUCAGAAAUGGAGAACGGUAAUAGUACAGACUUCAUUGAGUGGUCCUAAGGACUCAGUGACAUGUAUGGACACGUAGGGCAAGGUGCCUGGCCAUGUUACCCCGUGAAGUCUCCAUGAAGGGGAGUUGUGAUCAUAGGACUGCUUCCCCCAGGGGAGCCUCUGAGCCCUUCAUCCUCUCCUGCCCUGCUGAGCUCCUACCACACAAAAUGCCAUAACCAAGCAUCUAUCUGGGGGCAGGCCCUGGGUUUUGCUUUUCUCUAUCCACAGCCAGACGUUGCCUGGAGGGUCACUCAACUGACUGGAUGAAUGAUAAUCGAAUGGUCUCAACUCCUCUGGCAGGCCGGGAGGGCAGACCAGGAUUGAGACCAUGGAGGGGUCCAGAGGGUCAUCCCAGGGCAGUGGUUUGGGGUCCUGGGAUGAAAUGGGAUCCCAGCAGUCACAGUAGUUUCUUUCUAAUGAUCCCCACCCCCUCAACUUCCCUCCCUACAAAGGUGUUGGGGGGCAGGGGCGGAUUGGAGGAGGAGGAGCUUCUGCUCUCAGCAAAUGAAAACAAGGUCAGAGGUUGGGUGGAAGGCCAGGGGGAUGGUUCUGGUACAAAGAGGUAGAUGUAUGUGUGUGUUGCAGGGUGGGGGGGUGUUCAGGGUGGUGGAGGAGUGGUGACAGCACCCCUAGUUGGAGCAUAAGAGCCACAGUUUUUGAGCACCUAACAUUUUACCAGGCUCCAGGAUACUGUUUAUGUUGUAUCAUAGUCAAAAUCUCAAGAUAGCAAUCUCCAUUACCAUCCCCUUUUUCAAUUCUUGGAGGAAAUUGAUAGAGAUGCUUGCCCCAGGUCACUCCGUUGGUGAGUAUCAGUUCCAGGAUUUGAACCCUGGCAUUCUCUCUCCAUAGCUUUAAUGUUCACUACUAAGCACCUCCUUCAUGCUCCUAAAGGCUGACCUGGGCUCAAAUCCUCUUUCCCUCACACUUCUCUCAACAGAGCUUCUGUUGCUCUACUCAUCCCCACAUCCCCUUCAACUGCCAACACAUAUCACUAAUCCAAUAACCCGCCCUCCACCCCUUUUC